This 72-nucleotide transfer RNA is filed under the name Planigale gilesi (flat-skulled marsupial mouse). RNAcentral describes it as "tRNA-Asn". It matches the Rfam family "tRNA". From Rfam's summary of the family: Transfer RNA (tRNA) molecules are approximately 80 nucleotides in length. Lineage: Eukaryota; Metazoa; Chordata; Mammalia; Dasyuromorphia; Dasyuridae. The record is from RNAcentral.
UAAACUGAAGCUAAAUGUAUGAGCGCUUGGCUGUUAACUAAGAGUUAGUGGGAUAAAUACCCUCCAGUUUAG